GAGUUUGAUCAUGGCUCAGAACGUACGCUGGCGGCACGCCUAACACAUGCAAGUCGAACGAAGUAGCAAUACUUAGUGGCAGACGGGUGAGUAACAUGUAGGUAUCUGCCCUUUGGCCUGGAAUAACACGAGGAAACUUGUGCUAAUACCGGAUAAGUCUUUACGGAGAAAGCUUUAUGCACCAUUGGAUGAGCCUGCACUUGAUUAGUUUGUUGGUGGGGUAAUGGCCUACCAAGACUGUGAUCAAUAGCUGAUUUGAGAGGAUGAUCAGCCACAUUGGGACUGAGACACGGCCCAAACUCCUACGGGAGGCAGCAGUGGGGAAUCUUGCACAAUGGAGGAAACUCUGAUGCAGCGAUGCCGCGUGAGUGAAGAAGGCCCUUGGGUUGUAAAGCUCUUUCGUCGGGGAAGAAAAUGACUGUACCCGAAUAAGAAGGUCCGGCUAACUUCGUGCCAGCAGCCGCGGUAAUACGAAGGGACCUAGCGUAGUUCGGAAUUACUGGGCUUAAAGAGUUCGUAGGUGGUUGAAAAAGUUGGUGGUGAAAUCCCAGAGCUUAACUCUGGAACUGCCAUCAAAACUUUUCAGCUAGAGUAUGAUAGAGGAAAGCAGAAUUUCUAGUGUAGAGGUGAAAUUCGUAGAUAUUAGAAAGAAUACCAAUUGCGAAGGGCAGCUUUCUGGAUCAUUACUGACACUGAGGAACGAAAGCAUGGGUAGCGAAGAGGAUUAGAUACCCUCGUAGUCCAUGCCGUAAACGAUGUGUGUUAGACGUUGGAAAUUUAUUUUCAGUGUCGCAGCGAAAGCGAUAAACACACCGCCUGGGGAGUACGACCGCAAGGUUAAAACUCAAAUGAAUUGACGGGGACCCGCACAAGUAGUGGAGCAUGUGGUUUAAUUCGAAGAUACGCGCAGAACCUUACCAACACUUGACAUGUUCGUCGCGACUUUAAGAGAUUAAAGUUUUCGGUUCGGCCGGACGAAACACAGGUGCUGCAUGGCUGUCGUCAGCUCGUGUCGUGAGAUGUUGGGUUAAGUCCCGCAACGAGCGCAACCCUCACUUUUAGUUGCCAUCAUUAAGUUGGGCACUCUGAAAGAACUGCCAGUGAUAAGCUGGAGGAAGGUGGGGAUGACGUCAAGUCCUCAUGGCCCUUACGUGUUGGGCUACACACGUGCUACAAUGGUAUCUACAACAGGAAGCAAGACGGCGACGUUAAGCAAAUCCUUAAAAGAUACCUCAGUUCGGAUUGCACUCUGCAACUCGAGUGCAUGAAGCUGGAAUUACUAGUAAUCGUGGAUCAGCGUGCCACGGUGAAUGCGUUCCCGGGUCUUGUACACACCGCCCGUCACACCAUGGGAGUUGGUUCUACCUUAAGGCAAGGUUUAAAACCCUUGACCACGGUAUAGUCAGCGACUGGGGUGAAGUCGUAACAAGGUAACC
This 1436-nucleotide ribosomal RNA is filed under the name uncultured marine bacterium. RNAcentral describes it as "bacterial SSU rRNA". It matches the Rfam family "Bacterial small subunit ribosomal RNA". The record is from RNAcentral.